GACGAACGCUGGCGGCGUGCCUAAUACAUGCAAGUAGAACGCUGAAGAGAGGAGCUUACUCUUCUUGGAUGAGUUGCGAACGGGUGAGUAACGCGUAGGUAACCUGCCUUGUAGCGGGGGAUAACUAUUGGAAACGAUAGCUAAUACCGCAUAACAAUGGAUGACACAUGUCAUUUAUUUGAAAGGGGCAAUUGCUCCACUACAAGAUGGACCUGCGUUGUAUUAGCUAGUAGGUGAGGUAAUGGCUCACCUAGGCGACGAUACAUAGCCGACCUGAGAGGGUGAUCGGCCACACUGGGACUGAGACACGGCCCAGACUCCUACGGGAGGCAGCAGUAGGGAAUCUUCGGCAAUGGGGGCAACCCUGACCGAGCAACGCCGCGUGAGUGAAGAAGGUUUUCGGAUCGUAAAGCUCUGUUGUAAGUCAAGAACGUGUGUGAGAGUGGAAAGUUCACACUGUGACGGUAGCUUACCAGAAAGGGACGGCUAACUACGUG
RNAcentral lists this ribosomal RNA (497 nucleotides) under uncultured bacterium. Its description in RNAcentral is "partial 16S ribosomal RNA". It matches the Rfam family "Bacterial small subunit ribosomal RNA", at positions 28 to 507 of the family's 1533-position model. The record is from RNAcentral.